Molecule: ribosomal RNA, 732 nt
Filed under: uncultured bacterium
Lineage: Bacteria
Description: bacterial SSU rRNA
Rfam family: Bacterial small subunit ribosomal RNA
Source: RNAcentral
AACAGGAUUAGAUACCCUGGUAGUCCACGCCCUAAACGAUGUCAACUAGUUGUUGGUAGAGUAAAAUCUAUGAGUAACGCAGCUAACGCGUGAAGUUGACCGCCUGGGGAGUACGAUCGCAAGAUUAAAACUCAAAUGAAUUGACGGGGGCCCGCACAAGCGGUGGAUUAUGUGGAUUAAUUCGAUGCAACGCGAAAAACCUUACCUGGCCUUGACAUGUACGGAACUUUCCAGAGAUGGAUUGGUGCUCGAAAGAGAACCGUAACACAGGCGCUGCAUGGCUGUCGUCAGCUCGUGUCGUGAGAUGUUGGGUUAAGUCCCGCAACGAGCGCAACCCUUGCCAAUAAUUGCCAUCAUUUAGUUGGGCACUUUAUUGGGACUGCCGAUGACAAAUCGGAGGAAGGUGGGGAUGACGUCAAGUCCUCAUGGCCCUUAUGGCCAGGGCUUCACACGUAAUACAAUGGUCGGUACAGAGGGUUGCCAAGCCGCGAGGUGGAGCCAAUCCCAGAAAGCCGAUCGUAGUCCGGAUUGCAGGCUGCAACUCGCCUGCAUGAAGUCGGAAUCGCUAGUAAUCGCGGAUCAGCAUGUCGCGGUGAAUACGUUCCCGGGCCUUGUACACACCGCCCGUCACACCAUGGGAGUGGGUUUUACCAGAAGUAGGUAGUCUAACCGCAAGGAGGACGCUUACCACGGUAGUAUUCAUGACUGGGGUGAAGUCGUAACAAGGUAACC